GUGCUUCUUCAGCAGCACAUGUACUAAAAUUGGAACGAUACAGAAAUUAGGAUGGUCCCUGCUCAAAGAUGACAGAAAAUUCAUGAAGCAUUCCACAUUUUA
Molecule: small nuclear RNA, 102 nt
Organism: Pongo abelii (Sumatran orangutan)
Lineage: Eukaryota; Metazoa; Chordata; Mammalia; Primates; Hominidae
Source: Ensembl